This 492-nucleotide ribosomal RNA is filed under the name uncultured bacterium. RNAcentral describes it as "partial 16S ribosomal RNA". It matches the Rfam family "Bacterial small subunit ribosomal RNA", at positions 29 to 507 of the family's 1533-position model. The record is from RNAcentral.
AGUGAACGCUGGCGGUAGGCCUAACACAUGCAAGUCGAACGGCAGCACAGUAAGAGCUUGCUCUUACGGGUGGCGAGUGGCGGACGGGUGAGGAAUACAUCGGAAUCUACUUUUUCGUGGGGGAUAACGCAGGGAAACUUACGCUAAUACCGCAUACGACCUACGGGUGAAAGCAGGGGAUCUUCGGACCUUGCGCGAUUGAAUGAGCCGAUGUCGGAUUAGCUAGUUGGCGGGGUAAAGGCCCACCAAGGCGACGAUCCGUAGCUGGUCUGAGAGGAUGAUCAGCCACACUGGAACUGAGACACGGUCCAGACUCCUACGGGAGGCAGCAGUGGGGAAUAUUGGGCAAUGGGCGCAAGCCUGAUCCAGCCAUACCGCGUGGGUGAAGAAGGCCUUCGGGUUGUAAAGCCCUUUUGUUGGGAAAGAAAAGCAGCAGGUUAAUACCCCGCUGUUCUGACGGUACCCAAAGAAUAAGCACCGGCUAACUUCGUG